RNAcentral lists this ribosomal RNA (253 nucleotides) under uncultured bacterium. Its description in RNAcentral is "partial 16S ribosomal RNA". It matches the Rfam family "Bacterial small subunit ribosomal RNA", at positions 524 to 776 of the family's 1533-position model. The record is from RNAcentral.
UACGUAGGGGGCUAGCGUUGUCCGGAAUCAUUGGGCGUAAAGAGCGUGUAGGCGGCCCGGUAAGUCCGCUGUGAAAGUCGGGGGCUCAACCCUCGAAUGCCGGUGGAUACUGUCGGGCUAGAGUGCGGAAGAGGCGAGUGGAAUUCCUGGUGUAGCGGUGAAAUGCGCAGAUAUCAGGAGGAACAACGAUUGCGAAGGCAGCUCGCUGGGACGUCACUGACGCUGAGACGCGAAAGCGUGGGGAGCAAACAGG